This 253-nucleotide ribosomal RNA is filed under the name uncultured bacterium. RNAcentral describes it as "partial 16S ribosomal RNA". It matches the Rfam family "Bacterial small subunit ribosomal RNA", at positions 524 to 776 of the family's 1533-position model. The record is from RNAcentral.
UACGUAGGGUGCGAGCGUUGUCCGGAAUUAUUGGGCGUAAAGAGCUUGUAGGCGGUCUGUCGCGUCUGCUGUGAAAAUCCGGGGCUCAACCCCGGACUUGCAGUGGGUACGGGCAGACUAGAGUGUGGUAGGGGAGACUGGAAUUCCUGGUGUAGCGGUGAAAUGCGCAGAUAUCAGGAGGAACACCAAUAGCGAAGGCAGCUCGCUGGGACGGUACUGACGCUGAGGCGCGAAAGCGUGGGGAGCGAACAGG